This 406-nucleotide ribosomal RNA is filed under the name uncultured bacterium. RNAcentral describes it as "partial 16S ribosomal RNA". It matches the Rfam family "Bacterial small subunit ribosomal RNA", at positions 30 to 526 of the family's 1533-position model. The record is from RNAcentral.
AUUGAACGCUGGCGGCAGGCUUAACACAUGCAAGUCGAGCGAGCGGCGGACGGGUGAGUAAUGUCUGGGAAACUGCCUGAUGGAGGGGGAUAACUACUGGAAACGGUAGCUAAUACCGCAUACCAUCAGAUGUGCCCAGAGGGAAUUAGCUAGUCGGUGGGGUAAUGGCUCACCUAGGCGACGAUCCCUAGCUGGUCUGAGCGGAUGACCAGCAACACGGGAACUGAGACACGGUCCAGACUCCUACGGGAGGCAGCAGUGGGGAAUAUUGCACAAUGGGCGCAAGCCUGAUACAGCAAUGCCGCGUGUGUGAAGAAGGCCUUCGGGUUGUAAAGCACUUUCAGCGAGGAGGCGUUACUCGCAGAAGAAGCACCGGCUAACUCCGUGCCAGCAGACGCGGUAAUUC